RNAcentral lists this transfer RNA (73 nucleotides) under Candidatus Collierbacteria bacterium RIFOXYB1_FULL_49_13. Its description in RNAcentral is "tRNA-Pro". It matches the Rfam family "tRNA". From Rfam's summary of the family: Transfer RNA (tRNA) molecules are approximately 80 nucleotides in length. Their secondary structure includes four short double-helical elements and three loops (D, anti-codon, and T loops). The record is from RNAcentral. Lineage: Bacteria; Candidatus Collieribacteriota.
CGGGGUGUAGCUCAGUAGGUAGAGCGCUGCGUUUGGGACGCAGAGGUCGCUGGUUCGAGACCAGUCACCCCGA